RNAcentral lists this transfer RNA (77 nucleotides) under Pseudomonadota bacterium. Its description in RNAcentral is "Proteobacteria bacterium (cold seep metagenome) tRNA-Met". It matches the Rfam family "tRNA". From Rfam's summary of the family: Transfer RNA (tRNA) molecules are approximately 80 nucleotides in length. Their secondary structure includes four short double-helical elements and three loops (D, anti-codon, and T loops). Further hydrogen bonds mediate the characteristic L-shaped molecular structure. tRNAs have two regions of fundamental functional importance: the anti-codon, which is responsible for specific mRNA codon recognition, and the 3' end, to which the tRNAs corresponding amino acid is attached (by aminoacyl-tRNA synthetases). tRNAs cope with the degeneracy of the genetic code in two manners: having more than one tRNA (with a specific anti-codon) for a particular amino acid; and 'wobble' base-pairing, i.e. permitting non-standard base-pairing at the 3rd anti-codon position. Lineage: Bacteria; Pseudomonadati; Pseudomonadota. The record is from RNAcentral.
GGCGGUGUAGCUCAGAUGGUUAGAGCAUACGGCUCAUAUCCGUAGUGCCCGGGGUUCGAUUCCCUGCACCGCCACCA